This 155-nucleotide unclassified non-coding RNA is filed under the name soil metagenome. RNAcentral's name for it is "partial internal transcribed spacer 1". The record is from RNAcentral.
CCGAGUUAUCAACUCCCAAACCCCUGUGAACAUACCUUUUGUUGCCUCGGCGGGAUCGCCCCGGCGCCUCCGGGCCCGGAAUCCAGGCGCCCGCCGCAGGACCCAAACUCUUGUUUUCUAUAUGAAUCUUCUGAGUGACACAAGCAAAUAAAUUA